Anolis carolinensis (green anole) is the source of this 689-nucleotide long non-coding RNA. RefSeq lists it as uncharacterized. The transcript has 2 exons. The record is from RefSeq and is a predicted model, not a curated record. Lineage: Eukaryota; Metazoa; Chordata; Lepidosauria; Squamata; Anolidae.
UGGAAUUAGGGUAACAGCUGACAGCGAUGAGGAGUUGUAACUGGCAUAAAAUGGGGUUUGGAAUCCAGGGCUAAUUGCGUUGGGCAAGGUAAUCUGGACGAACGCUUGGGCUCUUGUUGGGAAUUUCCUGAAGACGGGUGUGUUUCGUUUGCUGAAUACCUUGGACCUCCGUCGUCUUCUUGACGGACAUUAAUUGCCUAUUCUGGAUUGACACUGGACUGACUGACUACGACCUCGGACUACCCCUUCUGUGGCUUUCGGUGGAAUUGGUGAACCAAAGACAUCUGUACCUGGCUUUCGACCUCGGACCGGACUGGGACCCUGCUGACCGUUGCUACCCUGAUUGAAGUGCCUGGAUCCGGAUUCCGUUUGUUGCACGGAGGAGUAACAACCUUAGUUACUCAUUUGCAGCUUUCGAGUAGCAGAGAGGAAUCUGCUGCCAGCUAUUUAUGUUCCUUUAAAUCCUUGUUUGUCUACUUUUGUUUGUUUAAAUUGCCGGGCUGAAGUAAGCAUUUUCUGUUUAACCCGGAUUAAACUCCUGUUUAAUCCGGUUUUUCUUUUGAACCACUUUUGGUACCAGCGGAGUCUUUUUUGUGUAUCUUUUACACUAAAGGCAAGUGUUUGCCUAGCCCUUUGUUUCAUACGGGCACUUUUUAGUUCUGUAACUUUAAUAAACUGUGUUGAACUUU